GACGAACGCUGGCGGCGUGGAUUAGGCAUGCAAGUCGAACGGUAUCAUCCUUUCGGGGGUGAGAGAGUGGCGAACUGGUGAGUAACACGUAGGUUAUCUACCCUCAAGACGGGGACAACCCAGGGAAACUUGGGCUAAUACCGGAUGUGAGCAACUUUUAGUUGUUUGAAAGGUGGCGUAAGCUGUCGCUUGGGGAUGAGCCUGCGUCCUAUUAGUUAGUUGGUGAGGUAACGGCUCACCUAGGCAAUGAUAGGUAGGCGGCCUUAACGGGUGGUCGCCCACACUGGGAUUGAGAUACGGCCCAGACUCCUACGGGAGGCAGCAGUCGAGAAUAGUCUACAAUGGUCGGAAGACUGAUAGUGCGACGCCGCGUGAACGAUGAAUCCCUUCGGGUGUAAAGUUCUUUUAUAUGUGAGCAGUGCUUCUUAUAUUAACAGUAUGGGGAAGAGAUAUUAGCAUAUGAAUAAGCAACGGCUAACUCCGUGCCAGCAGCCGCGGUAAA
RNAcentral lists this ribosomal RNA (502 nucleotides) under uncultured bacterium. RNAcentral's name for it is "bacterial SSU rRNA". It matches the Rfam family "Bacterial small subunit ribosomal RNA", at positions 28 to 524 of the family's 1533-position model. The record is from RNAcentral.